AUUGAACGCUGGCGGCAGGCCUAACACAUGCAAGUCGAGCGGAUGAGGGGUGCUUGCACUCCGAUUCAGCGGCGGACGGGUGAGUAAUGCCUAGGAAUCUGCCUGGUAGUGGGGGACAACGUUUCGAAAGGAACGCUAAUACCGCAUACGUCCUACGGGAGAAAGCAGGGGACCUUCGGGCCUUGCGCUAUCAGAUGAGCCUAGGUCGGAUUAGCUAGUUGGUGGGGUAAAGGCUCACCAAGGCGACGAUCCGUAACUGGUCUGAGAGGAUGAUCAGUCACACUGGAACUGAGACACGGUCCAGACUCCUACGGGAGGCAGCAGUGGGGAAUAUUGGACAAUGGGCGAAAGCCUGAUCCAGCCAUGCCGCGUGUGUGAAGAAGGUCUUCGGAUUGUAAAGCACUUUAAGUUGGGAGGAAGGGCAUUAACCUAAUACGUUAGUGUUUUGACGUUACCGACAGAAUAAGCACCGG
Molecule: ribosomal RNA, 473 nt
Filed under: uncultured bacterium
Lineage: Bacteria
Description: bacterial SSU rRNA
Rfam family: Bacterial small subunit ribosomal RNA
Source: RNAcentral